This is a long non-coding RNA of Mauremys mutica (yellowpond turtle), 796 nucleotides long. RefSeq lists it as uncharacterized. The record is from RefSeq and is a predicted model, not a curated record. The transcript has 5 exons. NCBI's taxonomy places the organism in Eukaryota, Metazoa, Chordata, Testudines, Geoemydidae.
GCCGGCCCCGGGGAAGGGGGCGAGCGGGCGGGCAGGCGCCUGAUGUUAGGACGCGAGUCCGUUGUGGGGAAUCCCACCCUGCGCUCUCCCCUGGGGACCCUCAGCCCCGCAACCGCGAGGCAUGAAUACCUCAUCACCAUCCUCUUCCUUGGCCCCAUUUUCUUGAGAUGAUCCAGUCUCCCUUAAAUCUUCACCAUCUCCGGAGUCGGACUGAGACUUCCGGAAUUUCCUGGAGGGGGGUCUGCGCUUCAGUGAUCCCCGUGUCCGCACCUGAGAACAGGCAGGCAAAAGAGGGAGUCCAAUGGAUCACAGUGAGAGGGAAUUUCAAAACAGAUGCAGCGAUCUCCUAAUUUGGCUGCAAACACACCCUGUGAAGACUGAAUUGGAAGGUAUCGUAAUUCCUAUGGUUGGAGCACAGCUAGGAAUGGACAGCCUCCUCUCCUCAAAUGCCGAUGAGGUCAAGCAGCUCAGCAUUGCUCCAAGCGGGGGAUCGUCUGGGUCUCCAUCCUCCAGAGCUGGGAAGUGACACAACCCACGGGACAGUCCUGUUUCAUAACUCUGCCUCCAGGACAGGUGAAAGAAGAUUUAAAAGUAUUUUCUGAAAGCCAGGUUUUAGAUUUAAACCUGACCCUGCUCAUGGUUGUGGUGAUAUUAGCCACCUAGAUGCCAUCAAAGCAUAACUAUAUGGCCCUACAGCAUACUUAUGUCUUGCCCUAUUAAAGCGACUGUUUUGCAUACAAACCCUAUUACUGUUUAGCAGAUCCUGGAAUAAAAUAAACUUGUCAUGAUAUUUUUA